RNAcentral lists this ribosomal RNA (253 nucleotides) under uncultured bacterium. Its description in RNAcentral is "partial 16S ribosomal RNA". It matches the Rfam family "Bacterial small subunit ribosomal RNA", at positions 524 to 776 of the family's 1533-position model. The record is from RNAcentral.
UACAGAGGUGCCGAGCGUUAGGCGGAAUCACUGGGCUUAAAGCGUGUGUAGGCGGGCGGGCAAGUACCUUGUGAAAUCCCACGGCUCAACCGUGGAACGGCUGGGUAUACUGCCUGUUUUGAGCCAACUAGGGGCGAGCGGAACAGACGGUGGAGCGGUGAAAUGCGUAGAUAUCGUCUGGAACGCCGAAGGUGAAAACAGCUCGCUGGGGUUGUGCUGACGCUGAGACACGAAAGCCAGGGGAGCGAACGGG